Molecule: long non-coding RNA, 384 nt
Filed under: Equus caballus (horse)
Lineage: Eukaryota; Metazoa; Chordata; Mammalia; Perissodactyla; Equidae
Description: lncRNA (ENSECAG00000053503.1)
Source: RNAcentral
GGAGAAUACAGCAGUCUGCAACCCAGAAGACGGCCCUCACCAGAACCUGACACGCUGGCACCCGAUCUCAGACUGCCAGCCUCCAGAACUCAUUCUCCAUGAAGGAGGUACUAUUACUAUCAUCACUUACAGAAGAGGAAACUGAGGCACAGAGCCUCCCUCUGCGGAAAAGGAGCUGGGUCUGGACGCAGGUCUAUGUUCAAGUCCCAGUUCCCGACUGUGAAUUCCCUUCUCCCUGGCUCUCGGUUCCCCAUCUCUACAAUGGGACUAUUACGGUCCUCCGCACAGGGCCUCUCUGAGUAUGACAAGAGAAUAAUGCAUGCGAGUGUGCUUUGCAAACUCUAGAGUUCUAUACAAAUGUAAGGACAUCAACAUCCUUUUUUC